RNAcentral lists this ribosomal RNA (513 nucleotides) under uncultured bacterium. Its description in RNAcentral is "bacterial SSU rRNA". It matches the Rfam family "Bacterial small subunit ribosomal RNA", at positions 8 to 518 of the family's 1533-position model. The record is from RNAcentral.
AGAGUUUGAUCAUGGCUCAGGAUGAACGCUAGCGGCAGGCCUAAUACAUGCAAGUCGUACGGUAAAUCCCCUCGGGGGAUUGAGAGUGGCGGACGGGUGCGUAACGCGUAUGCAACCAACCCCCGACAGGCGGACAGCCGGUGGAAACGCCGGAUAAUACGCCAUACGGCCGCGGUGAGGCAUCUCACCGUGGUCAAAGCCUCGGCGGUCGGGGACGGGCAUGCGUGCCAUUAGAUAGUCGGCGGGGUGACGGCCCACCGAGUCGACGAUGGCUAGGGGAUCUGAGAGGACGGUCCCCCCACACUGGUACUGAGACACGGACCAGACUCCUGCGGGAGGCAGCAGUAAGGGAUAUUGGGCAAUGGGGGUAACCCUGACCCAGCCAUGCCGCGUGAAGGGAAUGAGGCCCUACGGGUCGUGAACCUCUUUUAUUCGGGGACAAGGGCGCGCACGCGAUGCACGCUUGAGGGUACCGAAGGAAUAAGCGUCGGCUAACUCCGUGCCAGCAGCAGC